Cebus imitator (Panamanian white-faced capuchin) is the source of this 730-nucleotide long non-coding RNA. RefSeq lists it as uncharacterized. NCBI's taxonomy places the organism in Eukaryota, Metazoa, Chordata, Mammalia, Primates, Cebidae. The record is from RefSeq and is a predicted model, not a curated record. The transcript has 3 exons.
GCAUGAAGUCAGCUGGCCUGCUCUUGACAGGGAGCGUUUCACUUGUAAUUAGCUGGGUGGUUUUUUUUUUUUUUUUUUUUUUUUUAAGUUCUGCCUAAACAGUGGUGGGGUGUGAGUGAGCCCGUUCCCUUGGAGCUGCCCCACAGCAGUAGCGGAGAUUUGACUCCAUGAAAGUACAUUAUCGCAAUGUUGGCUUUGUGUGUAAGCAUUGUAUGUGUAUGUAAAAAUGUGGAGACUUCCUCAAUAAAGAGAUGUCCUUUUUGUACAUUUGCACUUGUGACAGACAAAGGAAUGAGGAAAAUGGAGUCCAAUCCUCAUCUAUAUGACUGGAGCAAGGACUUGAAAUGAGAACCCACAAGGGCUUAUUGACUUCCCACCCUGAGACUGGAUCUUGGAGCAACCAACCUGCGGGCAAAUUGGAAUCUACAAAGCCACACGCUUCUCCAGGUAGGGAAGGAUGGAGGAAGAGAGGCCAAGUCUCCCUCCUUGAGAUCUUUGAUGGGUCAGCACCCCCCAUUAAAGAAACUUAGAGGCCUGGCUCUUGUUUACCAGCCAGGUAGCUCACUCUGUCUCCCCAGGGAGUGCUAAGAGAUCAGACAAGAGGCCUGGUGUGUUCAGGGGAAAGUUCCCUCAUAGCAAUAACUAUUUAGAGUGGGGCAAACUUGUCCCUCGAAUGGUCCCCGUGUUUUCGUCAUAGUCAACCCAUAAUCAGUGUGGAUGUGGCCAUGCC